GAAUUGUCAACAUUUCAGUUCAAAAAUUUGAAUCAGGACCUGAGAUUUCAACCCAAAAUGUCUGACCCACUAAGUUCCUCCAGCAGACUGUUAGUUGCUCCAGAUUCCAGAAUCUGCAGUCCCUUUUAUGUCUUUGUUAAAAACAUUUUCUUUAGAAUCUUCAUAUAGAAACUAGCUAAUUAGUAAAGUUCCAUUUUCCCACACUCAGUGGCUAAUAUCUACUGACAAUCAAGUAUGUAUGGAUAUAAACUUCUGCUAUAUAAUGCCCAACUAAAAUUGUUCUUUUAAUCAUUCAUAAAUAAAAAUCCAUACUCUGUGUGCAAAAUUUAUUUUUUCAUGGCUUACAAUAAGAAAAUAAUUGAAACCCAAGAUUCCAAAUGAAUAACACUAUUUAAAACUAACUGAAACAACUUGUUCUUUCCUAUGUUGAAAAAUACUGGAAUGCCUGGGAACUGGGAGAAAUAGCAAAAUUAAGGAACUUCAAAAAUAAGAUCUUCUAUAUGAUGUCACAUGAUGUGCUACAAUAAUUAUUUCCUAUGUGGAGACCUUCAGCAGAAAGUAACUGCAGAAGAUCACAAGACUUUUCUGAGAACAAUCUCAAAUCAAAGAACAAGUGCGAACCCUAUGGUAAAAAUAAUAACAAGGAAAAUGUGGGGUAAGCUUGAGUGUGUGUCAAACAUGAUCAGAUGUACAGCUCAGCCCGGCACAAAAUACAGAUGGAAAGUUUAAAAGGGUCAUCCCAAUGAGAGGCGGUGAAGUAGUGAAAGUGAUGCUGCCUGGUGUUUGUAUUACAUGCUAUUUGCGAUAGAAAGAAAAAGAAAUAUGACAUUUAAUGUUAAGAUGUAAAGAGAUGAUUUUGCUUUUCCAUCAUGGUUUAGAAAGGUGCAGCACACCCAGUUAAAACACUUAAUUUUCUCCUUUAUUUUUAUUCUAGUAUUUUUGCGAAGCUCGGUACACUCCUGACAAAAGCAGCCUCCUGAGAGGAUCUUGUAUAUUGAUCCAAAGAUAAGAGCUUGGACAACACAUCGUGAAGCUCCAGUCUGCCACAAAAUUUCUGCUUGAGAGAGACCUUGUUCACACAGGAUGACCACCUGCGUCUUGGUACUUCGUUCACUUCUGCCAUGGUAACCACUUUUGCAGAAGACAAAAUACAAACAUCAAAAACAAAAUUUAUAUGAAAAAAGCAACAGUCAGGCAGCAUCUAUGGAAAUGAAUAAACAGUCGAUGUUUCUGGCCAAGACGGUUCCUGAACCUGGUAGUGUGAGCUCCGUACCUUCUUCCUGAUGGCAGCAGCGAGAAGAAAGUUUGGCCUGGGUGGGGGUUCCUGAUGAUGGGUGCUGCUUUCUUGCGACAAUGUUCUGUGUAAAUGUGCUCAGCUUUACCCGUGAUGGACUGAGCUGUAUUUACAACUUUCUGUUACUGUUGUAACUUGAUACAUUAUGCCAUCUCUCAUUCUCAAUAAUUCAGCUGAUGGACACAAGCAUACAAAAUACAUUCUUCACUGCCCUUCUUGUAUGACCACUUUCAAUGAAUAAUAAACUUGCAUUCCCAGCUCCCUCUGUAUAUCAACACUUCUAAGAUUCCUGCCAUUUAUCCAUAUAUCCUAUCAGAAUUUGACUUCAGAUCCUUUGCUAAUUAUGCAACUUACUGGGGAAUUUGGUUUCUGUUUCUCUGAAUCAAUAUAUCAUGUCACUAAAUUGUCAAUACAUACGUGUAUAUAAUAUUUGGCAUUUGUGAAAACUUGCACUGUAAUCAGUAUAAUUUACAUAAAUCCAUAUAUUGAGUCCA
This is a long non-coding RNA of Hypanus sabinus (Atlantic stingray), 1788 nucleotides long. RefSeq lists it as uncharacterized. Lineage: Eukaryota; Metazoa; Chordata; Chondrichthyes; Myliobatiformes; Dasyatidae. The record is from RefSeq and is a predicted model, not a curated record. The transcript is spliced from 3 exons.